GGCCCUAUCGUCUAGCUCGGUCUAGGAUAUCGGACUCUCAUUCCGGCGACACGGGUUCAAAUCCCGUUAGGGCUA
This 75-nucleotide transfer RNA is filed under the name Candidatus Kaelpia aquatica. RNAcentral describes it as "tRNA-Glu". It matches the Rfam family "tRNA". From Rfam's summary of the family: Transfer RNA (tRNA) molecules are approximately 80 nucleotides in length. Their secondary structure includes four short double-helical elements and three loops (D, anti-codon, and T loops). Lineage: Bacteria; Pseudomonadati; Candidatus Omnitrophota. The record is from RNAcentral.